CCUACGGGUGGCAGCAGUAGGGAAUAUUGCUCAAUGGGGGAAACCCUGAAGCAGCAACGCCGCGUGGAGGAUGAAGGUUUUAGGAUUGUAAACUCCUUUUGUUAGAGAAGAUUAUGACGGUAUCUAUCGACUAAUCACCGGCUAACUCCGUGCCAGCAGCCGCGGUCAUACGGAGGGUGCAAGCGUUACUCGGAAUCACUGGGCGUAAAGAGUGCGUAGGCGGGGUAAUAAGUCAGAUGUGAAAUCCUGUGGCUUAACUACAGAACUGCAUUUGAAACUGUUACUCUGGAGUGUGGGAGAGGUAGGUAGAAUUCUUGGUGUAGGGGUAAAAUCCGUAGAGAUCAAGAGGAAUACUCAUUGCGAAGGCGACCUGCUGGAACAUGACUGACGCUGAUGCACGAAAGCGUGGGGAGCAAACAGGAUUAGAUACCCUAGUAGUC
RNAcentral lists this ribosomal RNA (440 nucleotides) under uncultured bacterium. RNAcentral describes it as "partial 16S ribosomal RNA". It matches the Rfam family "Bacterial small subunit ribosomal RNA", at positions 338 to 795 of the family's 1533-position model. The record is from RNAcentral.